This 390-nucleotide ribosomal RNA is filed under the name uncultured organism. RNAcentral describes it as "bacterial SSU rRNA". It matches the Rfam family "Bacterial small subunit ribosomal RNA", at positions 526 to 896 of the family's 1533-position model. The record is from RNAcentral.
CGGAGGGUGCGAGCGUUGUCCGGAAUCACUGGGCGUAAAGGGCGCGUAGGUGGCCCGUCAAGCGCGCGGUGAAAGCCCGGGGCUCAACCCCGGGUCGGCCGUGCGGACUGGCGGGCUCGAGCACUGUAGGGGCGGGUGGAAUUCCGGGUGUAGCGGUGGAAUGCGUAGAGAUCCGGAAGAACACCGGUGGCGAAGGCGGCCCGCUGGGCAGGAAGACGGGGCAACCCGUCGGCUGACACUGAGGCGCGACAGCGUGGGGAGCAAACAGGAUUAGAUACCCUGGUAGUCCACGCCGUAAACGAUGGGCACUAGGUGCCUGGGGGAGCGACCCCCCGGGUGCCGGCGCUAACGCAUUAAGUGCCCCGCCUGGGGAGUACGGCCGCAAGGCUG